This 479-nucleotide ribosomal RNA is filed under the name Symbiodinium sp. clade A. Its description in RNAcentral is "eukaryotic LSU rRNA". It matches the Rfam family "Eukaryotic large subunit ribosomal RNA", at positions 143 to 581 of the family's 3401-position model. Lineage: Eukaryota; Dinophyceae; Suessiales; Symbiodiniaceae. The record is from RNAcentral.
UUGUGGCCUUUAGACAUACUACCAACGGCGGCGCGCGCGUAAGCCUCUUGGAACAGAGCGUCUACGUGGGUGAGAAUCCUGUGUUUCGCUUGAUGCCCGCCGUGCACGGUACUUGCUCUCAGAGUCACGCUCCUCGGAAUUGGAGCGWAWAUUGGGUGGUAAAUUUCAUCUAAAGCUAAAUACAGGCUCGAGACCGAUAGCAAACAAGUACCAUGAGGGAAAGAUGAAAAGGACUUUGAAAAGAGAGUUAAAAGUGCUUGAAAUCGCUGAACUGGAAGCGAAUGGAACUAGUGCUCUGGUUGAGAGUGCUGUAAAUGGCUGCGACAUCUGGGCUCUGGAACGCAAGUCCUUUGUCUGGCUUGAAGUAGUCGCUUGCAAUGUGUCUCAGCUUGAACAUCAACUUCUAUGCAUACGUGAGGAUGGCCCUUGGCUCAUGCUGUGUUGCUGUGGCGAUACUCUUGUGCUUCUGGGGAUUCAGG